This is a long non-coding RNA of Megalobrama amblycephala (Wuchang bream), 626 nucleotides long. RefSeq lists it as uncharacterized. The record is from RefSeq and is a predicted model, not a curated record. NCBI's taxonomy places the organism in Eukaryota, Metazoa, Chordata, Actinopteri, Cypriniformes, Xenocyprididae. The transcript is spliced from 5 exons.
GUUUUAGAGCAGUGAAACGGAGGUGACUGUAACGCGGAUUUGCCGGUUUGAAAACGGAUCCGGCACGGAGUCACCUGCUGUCUGGGUCAUUAUCAUCAAUCAUCGUCGUUAUCUGGAUACUCGCGAGAGGAAGUCACCUGAACCAACCACAACAGCUUCAGAUCACUCGACUGAACCAGCGGCUAUCACUUCAUUAUCACCACAAUUACAACGAGGUUUUACAGCAGUCAUCGUUAUGCCGCUGGUCAUAGGGAUACUGAUGGUGUUUGGACUCUCAUCGUUUAUUUAUUUCAGACUGAGUCAAAGGAAAGAAGGAGUGCAGUCGAGAGAUGUCGUUCAUGUGUCGGCUGAAAACCUGCUUACUGAAGAAGCCACUCAUACUGUCUGUCAUUAUGAAGAGAUCAUUUGCACUAAUAAUCAUGCUGGCUUCAGUUUGGGCCUUCCUGUGUUUGGUGAACAUGACGCCUCUGACACUCUCACCUGUUCAACGGUCUUGUUUCAAACUACAGAUCAUUCAGACAGGACUUCAGCACGACAGGAACUAUAUGCAACUGUUAGUCCAUGACCAUGUAAAGCUGAGUGACACUGUUUAGUUACAUAUCUGAAUCUGAUGAAAAAAUGUUCAA